GACGAACGCUGGCGGCGUGCCUAAUACAUGCAAGUCGAACGCACAGUUUAUACCGUAGCUUGCUCCACCAUAGACUGUGAGUUGCGAACGGGUGAGUAACGCGUAGGUAACCUGCCUGGUAGCGGGGGAUAACUAUUGGAAACGAUAGCUAAUACCGCAUAAUAUUAAUUAUUGCAUGAUAAUUAAUUGAAAGGUGCAAUUGCACCACUACCAGAUGGACCUGCGUUGUAUUAGCUAGUAGGUGAGGUAACGGCUCACCUAGGCGACGAUACAUAGCCGACCUGAGAGGGUGAUCGGCCACACUGGGACUGAGACACGGCCCAGACUCCUACGGGAGGCAGCAGUAGGGAAUCUUCGGCAAUGGACGAAAGUCUGACCGAGCAACGCCGCGUGAGUGAAGAAGGGUUUCGGAUCGUAAAGCUCGGUUGUAAGAGAAGAACGGGUGUGAGAGUGGAAAGUUCACACUGUGACGGUAGCUUACCAGAAAGGGACGGCUAACUACGUG
RNAcentral lists this ribosomal RNA (505 nucleotides) under uncultured bacterium. RNAcentral describes it as "partial 16S ribosomal RNA". It matches the Rfam family "Bacterial small subunit ribosomal RNA", at positions 28 to 507 of the family's 1533-position model. The record is from RNAcentral.